CAGGACGAACGCUGGCGGCGUGCCUAAUACAUGCAAGUCGAACGGCUUUUCUAUGGAAGCUUGCUUCCACUGAGAAGAUAGUGGCGAACGGGUGAGUAACACGUGGGUAACCUGCCCAUAAGAGGGGGAUAACAUCCGGAAACGGGUGCUAAUACCGCAUAGUUUUCUUGAUCGCAUGAUUGAGAAAGGAAAGACGGCCUUUGUGCUGUCGCUUAUGGAUGGACCCGCGGCGUAUUAGUUAGUUGGUGAGGUAACGGCUCACCAAGACGAUGAUACGUAGCCGACCUGAGAGGGUGAUCGGCCACAUUGGGACUGAGACACGGCCCAAACUCCUACGGGAGGCAGCAGUAGGGAAUCUUCCGCAAUGGACGAAAGUCUGACGGAGCAACGCCGCGUGAGUGAAGAAAGGUUUUCGGAUCGUAAAACUCUGUUGUCAGAGAAGAACAAGUUGGAGAGUAACUGCUCCAGCCUUGACGGUAUCUGACCAGAAAGCCACGGCUAACUACGUGCCAGCAGCCGC
RNAcentral lists this ribosomal RNA (520 nucleotides) under uncultured bacterium. RNAcentral describes it as "bacterial SSU rRNA". It matches the Rfam family "Bacterial small subunit ribosomal RNA", at positions 25 to 518 of the family's 1533-position model. The record is from RNAcentral.